Gasterosteus aculeatus aculeatus (three-spined stickleback) is the source of this 2705-nucleotide long non-coding RNA. The record is from Ensembl. NCBI's taxonomy places the organism in Eukaryota, Metazoa, Chordata, Actinopteri, Perciformes, Gasterosteidae.
GACUAAUUAAUAGCUCUGGUCUGAACCCUCGAAGCAGUGCACUCUGGGAGUGAGCGCCUUCAAGGAGCCUCUGAUCACACAGCUGAGCAGUGUGCAGAACAGACCCGGCUCGUAUUUUGGUUUCCAUUUCAGACUCAGCAGGUGGUGGGUGAGUGAGGGUGAGUGAGGGUGAGAGUGUGUGUGUGUGUGUGUGUGUGUGUGUGUGUUCGGGAGACUGGACAGGGAAUUCAGAAGCCAGCAUGUUUUUUUCUUUUUCGUUUUGCAGGAAUAAAGUGACAUUUUAAGGUUUGUGAUCAUUAGUUUGUGUCGAGCUGCCGUUUCCAUGACGACCCUUCUUUUCUGUGAAUGUGUGAAAAGAUUCUAAAGUUGUCGUCUCCUUGCGGCGAGGGUGUUUUUGAGAAGGAAGACUUGUUCUUCAAGGUCUCGUUCAGGGAGUAACCCUGGACGGGGUUUUGCGUUGUGAAAAUGAAAAUGUUACUCGUUCUUAGAACGUGGAGUUUACAGAAUAUUAAAGCUAUUGAGAUUACUGAGGUAAUAAAUCGGGUCAGAGGUUGUUUACAGCUGGAGGAGUCGCCCCCUGAUGGUCAGCAGACAGAAUGCAAGUUUAAGAGCCUUGAAUUGGCCUAAAUUUUCACAACUGUAGUUUGCCGCUUGAUUAAAAGUAAAUCAGAGAAACAAUAACUCCACCCAGUUUAAAUGGACCUCUAAAAUAAGAGCGAGGAUGGGAAUGAGGAUCGGGCUGCUCUCAGGUCCGGGUUAGACUUUUCUCUUGGGAGGUGGGUCGCUGAGUCCUGAUGAGCAGCUGGUGGUGUGUUCGUGUCGCGUGUGUCAGUCAACGGUCGACAUGGCUGAAACCUCUGAUUCGGACCACUAACUCACCCUCAGGAGGGCGGGCGGUCCCCCCUUUGAGACCAGAGAGUUAGUAUCUUAUCUAAGGAGGAUGGACUUUCAACCCUCAGGUCAGUGUAACAGAUCAGAUUACAGCGGAGAGGCUCCUGACCCAAACAUUUUAAUCAUUAAACUGGGUCCUGGUUGUAAUUUAAAUUACUUUAUAUUUGUCUGGCGCUCUUCUGAAACACACACAAGCUUUUUGCUUUGGGUUAAAAAAAAAUUCCCUUCAUCACUAUGACAGUCACCUCUCAUGUACAAGGCGAUGUCAUUUUAGCAGUUUCCCACAUUAUGUUGGAACGGGGCUCUUGGUACUAGUUACCUGAAGAGCACUGCUGAUGGUUUGAAUCUUUGAACGCUGGGUUUUUAUUUUGGCAUCCGGCCUCUCAGUGGGACGUCCGGCCAUCUGCGCCUGAACACUUAGUUAUGAGAAAACGUCCAAACGGACACCAGCAAAGUAAGACCCACACACACACACGCGGGUAUAUCCACCUGCCAACAGAGGACGACAUGUGAGCCACAGAAAGAAGCCCCCCCCCCGUCUGUCACAGAAGGCCUCAAGUGUGAGUGUGUGACGCAGCCGUCAGCCUAAUUAUCAGGGUGGAAGGAAGCCCGACACAUCGCCAGCAGCUCUCCAAACGUCCUCUGCUGCCACACACCGCCGCCCCCUCGGGGGGCUGUGAGUGUGUGUGAGACGGUCCGGGGUCUCUCUCUUUUUGCACAGCGGGACAGGUAGAGGACUUUGAAAGACGAGCUCUCCUGCUGGAGGGACAGACGGAUCAAAUUAGUGCUCUUCACAGCCACAAAAGAAGUCGCUCGCACUUCUUUGGGACAAGCUGCACAAUGCGAAGGGCCGUUUAAAAAAAACGCUCUUGUAGCCCCGUCUUUCCCACCAGGACGACGUCCACAGAAAUGAAACAUCUUCUUGCUCAAGAGGUUGUCCCUCGUCGGAGUGCAAAUCGUCAUCUUACAAAACCUCCAAAUGUUGUUCAGCCCCAAUAAGCGUAACAAAUAAUUAUUAUGAGAGUACUGAUGAUGAGUACGAGCCAAUCAGAGGCGUAGUAAAGGGAAGUACAGGACCAAAUAAGGACGCAACGUCUCGCCCACAUAUUAUUACUAGUGUGAAGAUAAAUAUAAAAAGAUAUAAAAUACUUCAGCUGAACAGGCAACAGUUUUUAGUGGAAGUUUGUUAGUUUUGAUCUUUUUUAUGGGAUUCAUUGACAGUAAAGAAAAUAGGAAAUCUCUCAUCCUUUAACUGGAGCACAGGACGAGUACGCAGUAAAAAGGUACAAAGAAAGAACUCUAAAUAAUAAUAAUUUAUUUAAUAAAAUGCAACGUCUCAAAUGUCUCCCAUUGGUUCUCAGUGGCGGGGUCUCUGUGAAAAACAAUUGGCGGCGACUUCAGCGACUCCCCGCCGGUGCAAAAGGCCGAGGCUCCGGGACACGAGUCCAAGCGGCCGAGGCUCCGGGACACGAGUCCAAGCGGCCGAGGCUCCGGGACACGAGUCCAAACGUCCGAGGCUCCAAAACACUCCGGCGCCAUUAUCAAAACCACAAUUCAUCUCAUUCUUAAAAAAGCGAUCUGGGCGCAAUUGAUGGCGAGCAUCAGGGCUGCCCGCCCGGCGGGAAGCUAGCGGGGUCGUGACCUUGUGAGGAUGUUUCAUCCUCUCCUGGUCUUCCUGUACAGUAAUACCUCAGCUGGAUCAUUUGGUCCGUAAAGCUUAAGACUUUCUGGGAAAUUGGAUUUGAAGCUGAGCGAAGGCCCCGGAGGCUGGAAGGCGACUCUUUUUUUCAUCCUUCUUUCCUCUGUAUUUUUAC